RNAcentral lists this ribosomal RNA (28 nucleotides) under Rhodocollybia dotae. RNAcentral describes it as "partial large subunit ribosomal RNA". Lineage: Eukaryota; Fungi; Basidiomycota; Agaricomycetes; Agaricales; Omphalotaceae. The record is from RNAcentral.
AUUUGACCUCAACAUCAGGRAGGAAAUA